GGACUACCCGGGUUUCUAAUCCUGUUCGCUCCCCACGCUUUCGCGUCUCAGCGUCAGUACCGUCCUAGAGAGCCGCUUUCGCCACGGGUGUUCUUCCUGAUAUCUGCGCAUUUCACCGCUACACCAGGAAUUCCACUCUCCUCUUCCGGACUCUAGCCAGAUGGUUUCGGUCGACGUCUAGAGGUUAAGCCUCUAGUUUUCACAACCGACCUACCUGGCCGCCUACACGCUCUUUACGCCCAAUAAAUCCGGACAACGCUUGCCCCCUACGUAUUACCGCGGCUGCUGGCAC
Molecule: ribosomal RNA, 292 nt
Filed under: uncultured bacterium
Lineage: Bacteria
Description: partial 16S ribosomal RNA
Source: RNAcentral